This 75-nucleotide transfer RNA is filed under the name Candidatus Woykebacteria bacterium RIFCSPHIGHO2_02_FULL_43_16b. RNAcentral's name for it is "tRNA-Gly". It matches the Rfam family "tRNA". Rfam says of the family: Transfer RNA (tRNA) molecules are approximately 80 nucleotides in length. Their secondary structure includes four short double-helical elements and three loops (D, anti-codon, and T loops). Lineage: Bacteria; Candidatus Woykeibacteriota. RNAcentral also lists the same sequence under 2 other names. The record is from RNAcentral.
GCGGGAGUAGUACAGUGGUAGUAUGCGUCCUUGCCAAGGACGAGGUCGCGGGUUCGAAUCCCGUCUCCCGCUCCA